RNAcentral lists this unclassified non-coding RNA (160 nucleotides) under uncultured fungus. RNAcentral's name for it is "sequence contains ITS1, 5.8S rRNA gene". Lineage: Eukaryota; Fungi. The record is from RNAcentral.
AAGAGAACUUGCCCUUCGGGGUAGAUCUCCCACCCUUUGUUUACAUAUCUUUGUUGCUUUGGCAGGCCCGCCCUCGGGCCACCGGCUUCAGCUGGUCAGCGCCUGCCAGAGGACCCCAAACUCAUAUUAUAAUUGUCGUCUGAGUACUAUAUAAUAGUUA